RNAcentral lists this ribosomal RNA (253 nucleotides) under uncultured bacterium. RNAcentral describes it as "partial 16S ribosomal RNA". It matches the Rfam family "Bacterial small subunit ribosomal RNA", at positions 524 to 776 of the family's 1533-position model. The record is from RNAcentral.
GACGAACCGUGCGAACGUUAUUCGGAAUCACUGGGCUUAAAGGGCGCGUAGGCGGGCUCGCAGGUCAGGGGUGAAAGCCCACGGCUCAACCGUGGAAGUGCCUUUGAUACCGUGAGUCUCGAGGAAGGUAGGGGUGCGCGGAACUUCUGGUGGAGCGGUGAAAUGCGUUGAUAUCAGAAGGAACGCCGGCGGCGAAAGCGGCGCACUGGACCUUUUCUGACGCUGAGGCGCGAAAGCUAGGGGAGCAAACGGG